UUAAAAUACCGGUUCUCGUACGAUUGUUGAAGUUAAGCAACAUCGAGCUUGGUCACUACCUGGAUGGUUGACCGCUUGGGAAUAUCAGGUACUGUAAG
Non-coding RNA from Acanthosepion pharaonis, 98 nucleotides. Lineage: Eukaryota; Metazoa; Mollusca; Cephalopoda; Sepiida; Sepiidae. The record is from the annotation of a GenBank genome assembly.